UGGGGGAAUAUUGGACAAUGGGGGGAACCCUGAUCCAGCGACGCCGCGUGAGUGAAGAAGUAUUUCGGUAUGUAAAGCUCUAUCAGCAGGGAAGAAAGAAAUGACGGUACCUGACUAAGAAGCCCCGGCUAACUACGUGCC
RNAcentral lists this ribosomal RNA (141 nucleotides) under uncultured bacterium. RNAcentral's name for it is "partial 16S ribosomal RNA". It matches the Rfam family "Bacterial small subunit ribosomal RNA", at positions 354 to 509 of the family's 1533-position model. The record is from RNAcentral.